RNAcentral lists this ribosomal RNA (619 nucleotides) under Clarkia lewisii. RNAcentral describes it as "eukaryotic LSU rRNA". The stretch from base 250 to 405 matches the Rfam family "5.8S ribosomal RNA". The record is from RNAcentral. Lineage: Eukaryota; Viridiplantae; Streptophyta; Magnoliopsida; Myrtales; Onagraceae.
GUCAUAUCYYGCACAGCAGAACAACCCGAGAACCGGUUAACAACCACUUUGGAGACUGGGGCACGUCCUCUGCGCUCCCAAAUCCMGUCUCCGUGGGCAGCCCCCCCAUGGGGGGUCCAUGGAUUCGGGCAAUAACGAAACCCGGCACGGAAUGUGCCAAGGAAAUCGAAUAAGAGAAGCGCUGUCCCCCAGCCCCCGUUCGCGGGGUGUCUCGGGAUCACGCGCCAUCUUUUCUAUCAAUAUCAAAACGACUCUCGGCAACGGAUAUCUCGGCUCUCGCAUCGAUGAAGAACGUAGCGAAAUGCGAUACUUGGUGUGAAUUGCAGAAUCCCGUGAACCAUCGAGUCUUUGAACGCAAGUUGCGCCCUAAGCCAUUUGGCCGAGGGCACGUCUGCCUGGGCGUCAAUCAUCUAUUCGUCACCCAACCUCUUCUCCCCCAAAAGGAGCUCGGGUCCUGGGUACGGAAGUUGACCUCCCGUGCUCUUGAAGCGCGGCUGGUCUAAAAUCGAGCAUCGGACUGAUGAUCUCCGAGGCACGCGGUGGUUGUUAAUUCUUACCUCGUGAUGUUGCCACGGAGCCUCUUCCAUACGGAGCUCCACGACCCUAGAUUCAUAACGAU